This 273-nucleotide ribosomal RNA is filed under the name uncultured bacterium. RNAcentral's name for it is "partial 16S ribosomal RNA". It matches the Rfam family "Bacterial small subunit ribosomal RNA", at positions 524 to 796 of the family's 1533-position model. The record is from RNAcentral.
UACGAAGGGUGCAAGCGUUAAUCGGAAUUACUGGGCGUAAAGCGCGCGUAGGUGGUUCGUUAAGUUGGAUGUGAAAGCCCCGGGCUCAACCUGGGAACUGCAUCCAAAACUGGCGAGCUAGAGUAUGGCAGAGGGUGGUGGAAUUUCCUGUGUAGCGGUGAAAUGCGUAGAUAUAGGAAGGAACACCAGUGGCGAAGGCGACCACCUGGGCUAAUACUGACACUGAGAUGCGAAGGCGUGGGGGGCAAACCGGGUCAGAUAGCCGGGUAGUCC